RNAcentral lists this long non-coding RNA (7755 nucleotides) under Homo sapiens (human). RNAcentral's name for it is "HSALNT0200677". The record is from RNAcentral. Lineage: Eukaryota; Metazoa; Chordata; Mammalia; Primates; Hominidae.
CAAGAAAAGUAGAAUGGACUAAAGGUCUUUUAAAAACACACCUCACCAAGCUCAGCCACCAACUUAAAAAGGACUGGACAAUACUUUUACCACUUUCCCUUCUCAGAAUUCAGGCCUGUCCUCGUAAUGCUACAGGGUACAGCCCAUUUAAGGUCCUGUAUAGACACUCCUUUUUAUUACGCCCCAGUCUCAUUCCAGACACCAGACCAACUUAGACUGUGCCUCAAAAAAAACAAAAAAACUUGUCAUCCCUACUAUCUUCUGUCUACUCAUACUCCUAUUCACCGUUCUCAACUACUCAUACAUGCCCUGCUCUUGUUUACACUGCCAGUUUACACUGUUUUUCCAAGCCAUCACAGCUGAUAUCUCCUGGUGCUAUCCCCAAACUGCCACUCUUAACUCUUGAAGUAAAUAAAUAAUCUUUGCUGGCAGGACUAUGCCAAAUCUCCUUAAACACUCUCUAAUCAGACAUCCUGAGUCGUCCCAAUUCUUAGACCUUUUAUACCUGUUUUUCUCCUUCUGUUAUUCCAUUUAGUUUUUCAAUUCAUACAAAACCGUAUCCAGGCCAUCACCAAUCAUUCUAUACGACAAAUGUUUCUUCUAACAACCCCACAAUAUCACCCCUUACCACAAGACCUCCCUUCAGCUUAAUCUCUCCCACUCUAGGUUCCCACGCCGCCCCUAAUCCCGCUCGAAGCAGCCCUGAGAAACAUCACCCAUUCUCUCUCCAUACCACCCCCCAAAAAAUUUUCGCCGCCCCAACACUUCAACACUAUUUUGUUUUAUUCUUCUUAUUAAUAUAAGAAGGCAGGAAUAUCAGGCCUCUGAGCCCAAGCCAAGCCAUCGCAUCCCCUGUGACUUGCACGUAUACGCCCAGAUGGCCUGAAGUAACUGAAGAAUCACAAAAGAAGUGAAUAUGCCUUGCCCCACCGUAACUGAUGACAUUCCACCACAAAAGAAGUGUAAAUGGCCGGUCCUUGCCUUAACUGAUGACAUUACCUUGUGAAAGUCCUUUUCCUGGCUCAUCCUGGCUCAAAAAGCACCCCCACUGAGCACCUUGCGACCCCCACUCCUACCCGCCAGAGAACAAACCCCCUUUGACUGUAAUUUUCCUUUACUGACCCAAAUCCUAUAAAACGGCCCCACCCUUAUCUCUCUUCGCUGACUCUCUUUUCGGACUCAGCCCACCUGUACCCAGGUGAAAUAAACAGCUUUAUUGCUCACACAAAGCCUGUUUGGUGGUCUCUUCACACGGACGUGCAUGAAAGUUACCAAAUAAUAUUAUUUAAUAGUUGUCGAUUUAUACAGCAUACCAUUAAUGUUAAAACCGCUGUUGCAAGAGCAUUUAGACUCUUUCUUCAUAUGCUAUGUGGCAGGAAUUCUUGACCUCUAUUUUCCAUAAAUAUUGUAUAUAUACCUAGACUAAAAUGUCCGGUGUUUUCCACUGACAGCACUGAAUGGCAUCCUGCUAUCUUCAGGCAUCUCAAAUUGAAGUCACUACAGUUGGCUGGUACAUCAAGGGGCCAGCAGGGACCACAGCACCAAAUCUUCUCUCACCAUUAUCCCAGAUAAAAAGAGUGUGCUGCCUGUAGCUGCUAGCACCCUUUCUUUGAUAAGGGAGCACCCCAUAAGCUGUCCUGGAAAGGAAGGUGUUAGUUAAGUUGUGUUGCAGGUUGGAUUCUCCGGAGGCAGAUGCCUAGAAGUUUAGGGCCCGAGGUUUAUUUGGCACCAACACCUGUGGAAGAGAGAAGAAGCAGGAUUGGGCAGUGAAAGAUGUCCAGCAGUGAUAUGGGCAUGACAAAGUCUUGGCCAGAGGCUGUCUCUGUACCACCCACAGUGGGGUAUGUGCAGUGCAGUGACAUGAUGAUAGCUCACUGCAGCCUCAACCUCCCAGGCUCAGGCAAUCCUCCUGCCUCAGCCUCCUCAAGUCCUCCUUUGAAGAGGUAGCUGGACAUCACAUCGUUGUCUACCACGUAGUGUGUCUAGAUAAGGCUGGGAAAAGUGAGGUGGGUUAUCCCUGGGCAUCCUCUGGUUUAACAAGAGUAGGAACUCAGUUGACUGCUCUUGUUUCGUAUACCAUUAGACAAGUCCACAGCAGAAAGUGAAAGCACUGCCAGGUACAGUGACUCAUGCCUGUAUUCCUAGUGUUUAGGGAGACUGAGGCAGGAGGAUCGCUUGAGGCCAGGUGUUUGAGACCAGCCUGGGCAACAUAGCAAGACCCUGUCUCUACAAAAAUUUAAAAAAUUAGCCAGGUGUGGUGGUACACACCUGUAGUGCCAUCUACUCAGCAGGUUGAGGGAGGAGGAUCACUUAACCCGGGAGGCCGAGGCUGCAGUGAGCUAUGAUCACACCAAUGCACUUCAGCCUGGGCAACAGAUUGAGAGCCUGUCUCAAAAAAAAAAAAAAAAAAAAAAGUGAAGGCACCAAGUGGCAAUUGUCAGAGGCUGUGGCCUACUCAGGAAGCAGACUUGGAGAUGGAGAGUGGUGGACAGGAGGUUUGCUAGGGAGUGGUCUUGGGAUCACCACCUCUGGAAGGGGAAAGGAAGAAGGAUGGGGCAGGAAGAGAAGUUGGCUGAUGCAUUAGUCAGGGUUCACUAGAGGGAAAGAACUAAUAGGAUAGAUGUAUAUAUGAAGGGGAGUUUAUUAGGAAGAAUCAACUCACAAGAUCACAAGGUGAAGUCCCACAAUAGGCUGUCUGCAAGCUAAGGAGCAAGGAAGCCAGUCUGAGUUCCAAAACCUCAAAAGUAGGGAAGCCGACAAUGUGGCCUUCAGUCUGUGGCCGUAAGCUCGAGAGCCCCUGGCAAACCACUGGUCUAAGUCCAAGAGUCCAAAAGCUGAAGAGCUUGGAGUCUGAUGUUCAAGAGCAGGAAGGAUUCAGCAAGAGAGAAAGAUGGAAGGCCAGAAGACUCAACAAAUGCUGAAAGAGAUAAGAUACUGAGACAGGAAGUGUAAGCUGGGACUGUCCUAAGCGAAUCAGGAAAAAGUUAUCCUGUCUAUAAUGAAGUUCAGGGAGAAAGAACAGCUUACAUUAACAGCCUUGAAGAGGCCAGGCUAACAGGGACUGCUGAUGGGGAAAUAAAGAAAUAAUCAAGGAUGAAUCCUAUAUCUGGGGCUUGAGCAAAUACGUUCAAGUCCUGACACUGGUACCUGUGAAUGUGAUCUUAUCUGGAAAGAGAGACUUUUUGGCCUAUGAGAUGUGGGGGCCCCAAAUCCAAUGACUGAAGUCAAUGGAAGAAGAUGAGAGGAUGCACAGAGAGACACACAAAGAGAAGAGCACCAUGUGUAGAUGGAGGCACAGGUUGGAGCGAUGCAGCUACAAGCCAAGGAACACCAAGGAACUAGAAAGAGGCAUUAAGAAUCCUUCCUUAGAGCCUUCAGAGGGUAGCUGGCCCUGCUGACACCUUAAUUUUGGACUUCUAGCCUCUAGAAUUAUGAGUGAAUACAUUUCUGUUAUUUUAAGCCACAGAAGUGGUAAUUUGUUAUAGCAAUGCUUGGGAACAAAUACAUAUACCAAUAUGGUUCUAUUAGCUAGUAUACUCUAAUUUUAUAGUCGGUAAUAUCAAGGGAGUAACACAAGGUAUCUGCACUACAGAAGCAGAUGUCUGAUUACUAGGUUCUGUGAUGAAACUUUGUAUUUCAAAAAAUGGAUCCCCUUCAUUCUCUCCUUGUUUCUAUGUCUGCUGUCCUGAAGCCAGAUGUGUUACCAUGAUGUCUUUAUACUAAUAUACUAACACAGCAGUUCUCAAAGCACUGUUCAUGGACACUUUGAGCUCCCUGAGACUCUUCCAGGGGGAGGCCAAAUCUAUUCUCAUACUUUCCCUUUUCACUGUGUUGACAUUUGCAGUGAUAGUGCAGAAGCAACGAUAGGCAAAACUGCUGACACCUUAGGACAAAUGGCAGUACCAGCAAUUGCACUAGUAGACAUCUUAUUCUUCGUCUUCAUGACUGGCAGAAAACAAACAAACAUAAAAAGAAUUUGACUUAAGAAUGACCUUGAUGAAGCAGCAACAUGAUUUAUUAAAUCUUUAUCCUUCAGUACAAGUCUUUUUAAUAUUGUGUGUGAUGUUAUGGGGAGUACAAAUAAAGCACUUCUGUGACAUACAGAAGUACAAAAAAAUAGUACUUGUGUAAUUGAGUUCUAGCUAAACUAGCAGCUUUUCCCAUGAACACCAGUUUUACUUGACAAACAGACUUGGGCUAUUCAGGUUAUUCAGACUUGGGUAUUUGGCAAACAUGUCCCUCCAUGCUCAGAGAUUCUCCUUCAGAGGCAACCAUCUUAGACUCUGUUUUCUUUACUGAGAAUGACAUUUCUUGUAAAAGCUUAAACACAGGUAAGGCCAAGGUAUUUUGCCUAAGGACAGAAAGCAUAAUGUUGUAGAGGUGGGUUCCCUUCCAGCCCAUUACACUUCCCAUUCCACUAAACGAGACAGGUGGUUUUCCACAUUUCAUGCAUCUCCUCCUUGAGACAGUGAAUCAAUGCUGCAAGAGAAAGAAAUGCCAGGUGGAAAAGCUGACAAGUCAGAUAUUACACAGCCACUUAAUUUUUAUUUUGUAGUUUUCACAAUUUGAGCAACCAAGUAGAAUACAUUAAAAAGAUACUAAAAAUGCGCUGUGAUAAAAUUCAUUUGACCAGGAAAUAUAGGCUUUCAUGUUUUUGUCUCCAGCUCAGCCUUUUCUCAUUUUUAAUGGCAACUGUUUUCUGGAUUUGGCACUUAUUUUGACAAAAGCUAUGUUGAGUUGCAAAUUGAAACAUGGUGCAUAGCUUCUAUGAUUAAGAAAUCCAGAAUCUAUCCAACCUAAGGCCUUAAAGGCAGAAAGAAAUGCUCAGAGAAAAAUUUCUCAACUUUGCCAUGUACCGAUAAAUGCCUGAUAUAAAUAUUAACUGUUAUUUCUGCAAACGUUCCCACUGUUUUAUAUACUUCAUUUCCCCCAUUUGUGAGACGGCAAUGUAUUCUGGAAAUUUGAUGGAUAGAAACUCGUGAUUGAGUCUUCUCAGCAUGGGAUAGGUCAGUAUUUGUGACUCAGCUGGCUGGUGCCAGAGUGGAGAACUCGUCUGAUUUGUUUCCACCCCAGGCACUGAAGGAUUUUCAAGAUUUUCCUCUUAAUAUUUGGUUUUACUUGAUAAUCCUAGAGCAUGCUGGGAAAUCUCAGCAAGAGAAAAAAUUUAGUAACCACAGGGAGGCCUGCUCAGAGGGCUGUGGGUAAGUAUGAAAGCUUAUGUGUAUGCCUACUAAUAACUCUUGAAUAUUUUGCUUUUCACAAGGUUUUCCUUCAACAAAAAGUAUGUAGGCUUGUAAGGACAGUGGGCCUUUAGAAAACUCAGCCAUUCCCAGAAAGACAAAUGCACAUUUGAGUCAUUUCCCAAGAGAGAUGUCACUAGUCAGGAAGGUAUGUGGAACCACACGGUUCAGCUUGCAAUUUAGAAUUUCAAAAGCAGGAGUUGGCCAAAAGUUGCCUAGGGUUUUUAACCUCACGUUUUUACCAUAAAUUUUCUUUCUUAUUUGUUGAGUGCUGACCUCACCCUUGUCAUAGGUGGGAUAGAAGAGAUGCUAGCUGCCUCUGAUCAACAUUGGAGAAAAUGCCCAAUUAAGAAAUAGGCUUCAUAGCCAAGGUGACUAAAUCCCAAAGGCUUGUUUGUUUUCUUUGUGCAACCCAACUUCUUAUGGGCUUGCUUUUGGAUUCUGUUGUUUCCUUUGUUUUUGUUUGGUUGGUUGUUUAUAUGUUGUUACUAAGACUCUGUCUUGGAGAUGUUGGACAAUAGGCUAGUGUCUCAUUGGAUCUAGGUGUUCCAGAUGUGAGCUAGGUCCUAGAAGGAGGUGGUAAGAAGGCUUUGCACUAUGCCCUGGGGAGGGCUGUUUUGCUGGCGGGUGACCAGGUUCUGAGGGAGUCUGUACCUAGUAGAUUUUCUCAACAUUCAGCAGGUGUGUGAGACACCUGACAUGGCUGAUCUUGGUACAGAAGGAAUCCAGCUGGAAGUGAUCUGUGUGUAGCAUGUCUCAUAGAAAUACAAGGAGCCUUGUCUUGUGACCCUGUACCUGUAAGGCCUCAAAGGACCUCACUCAUAACAGCUAGGAUGACUCUAUGAACCCCUAUAUGCUGGAAAUAGCCCCAGCUUAAUUUAGUUUAAUUCAGUUCACACUUAUUAGGUUCCUACUAAGAAAAAUAAUUUGCUUGAACAUAAUUAUUUUUUGUGAUUUAGUUUAUCCUCAUUUUAAUUGGAAGAAACUGGGGAUUAGAGAGGGUAAGUGGCUUAUCCAAGUUCAUACGACUGGUUCUUCCUGCCACAUGGCUUCAUUUUGAUAAGAAAUAUGACUUUCUCUUCUGUGAUAAAAAUAAGAUCUUGUGCCCUGGUGAGUUGGACAGUCUGGGAGUUCUGCCUGUUCUGAUUUUUUUUCCUGGUGGGAUAUUGGAUGAAACAUUCUAAUACUCAAUUCUAAAUUCAUGGUAACUUUGGGAAAUGUAUGUGCUUGUGUACAUGUGUGCGCAUGUGUGUGUAUGUGAAAUAGAAUGUAUGAUAGUUGUCCCAGGGUAGAUUUCCUGAAACAAACUCAUGUCUAUUGGGGCACUCAUCAUACCUUCCCUUUACUCUGUGUCUAAUGCUGGUCUCCCUUAGGCUCAUCAAUUAGGAAAGCCUAUAGCUGUUGCCACAUAACUGUCUGGAACUCUCAAUGUUGAUAUAUCAUUUUUAUCUGUUUAUAGACAAAUGAAAAUUUAGCCACUUUUUUUAUUACUUAAAUUGAAGACAGCUCAAGCCUGUCUCAACAAUGUGAGAAUGUCUUCUUUUUAUAAUCUCAAGUCCUUAUGAUGCUUAUGCAAACCUUUUUAAAGAAUAAAUAUAAAAGGAAUAUUGCCCCUGAUUAUGUAAAGCUGAUGUGGCAGACAUGGUAGAUUGUCUUGUUUGACAUCUGUACUAUCUCAUUCUCGUCUGCUCUUCCAUAUAGCGUUUGUCAGGAAUCCUUGUUUUGAAGGAUCUUGAUAUGUUUUGGAUACAAAUUUUAGUGGCAGCAGUGCUGAAGGCACCAUUCACUCUUUUGAGUCUAGCAGAAGCAAAGCCACAUUAAAGCCCAUAGUUCUUAGCAGCUUUCCAAUUCCCAGAUUGCAGAGAGUGCAGAUAAGUUACUGUAUUCCUGAAGUGGUUUCCUGAUUCCCUCAUAUAUCAGUCAAGAAUCUCCAAAGAAACAGAAAAAAUAGAAGAUAUAUAUGUUAAAGAAUUGGCUUGAGUGAUUUUGGGGACUGGCAAGUCCAAAAUUUGUAGGACAGGCCAGCUGGCUGGAAACUGAGAUAGGAAGUGAUAUAGUCUUGGGUGUGAAACCUGUAGGACAGGCUGGCAGGCUGGAAGCUCAGGAAGGAUUUACAUUAAAAUGUUGAGGCAAAAAGUAAAAUAAAUAAAAUGGUGAGGUGGAAUUCUCCAUUCUCUAGAAAAUCCCAAUUUUUGCUCUUAACACCUUCAACUGAUUAGAUAAUGUGUGCCCACAUUAUCUUUAAAAGUAAUGUUCUUUAAAGUCAACUGAUUGUAGAUAUUAAUCCCAUCUACAAAAUACCUUUAUAGCAAUAUCUAGAUUAGUGUUUGACCAAACAACUGGGCACCAUAGCUGAGCCAAACUGACACAUAAAAUUAACCGUCACAUCUAGUUUCCUGACUGUGGCAGAGAUAACGAUGAACUUGAUGGGCCACUUAAGCAGGAUUCUUCUAGAAAUCUGUCCUGGAGUUUCAUCCUAGAAUCUGCUAUGACAACCAGCUCAUCUAAGAAAUUU